UGGGGAAUAUUGCACAAUGGGCGCAAGCCUGAUGCAGCCAUGCCGCGUGUGUGAAGAAGGCCUUCGGGUUGUAAAGCACUUUCAGCGAGGAGGAAGGGUAGUGUGUUAAUAGCACAUUGCAUUGACGUUACUCGCAGAAGAAGCACCUGCUAACUCCGUGCCAGCAGCCGCGGUAAUACGGAGGGUGCAAGCGUUAAUCGGAAUUACUGGGCGUAAAGCGCACGCAGGCGGUUUGUUAAGUCAGAUGUGAAAUCCCCGCGCUUAACGUGGGAACUGCAUUUGAAACUGGCAAGCUAGAGUCUUGUAGAGGGGGGUAGAAUUCCAGGUGUAGCGGUGAAAUGCGUAGAGAUCUGGAGGAAUACCGGUGGCGAAGGCGGCCCCCUGGACAAAGACUGACGCUCAGGUGCGAAAGCGUGGGGAGCAAACA
This 427-nucleotide ribosomal RNA is filed under the name uncultured bacterium. RNAcentral describes it as "partial 16S ribosomal RNA". It matches the Rfam family "Bacterial small subunit ribosomal RNA", at positions 355 to 774 of the family's 1533-position model. The record is from RNAcentral.